RNAcentral lists this long non-coding RNA (519 nucleotides) under Ananas comosus (pineapple). RNAcentral's name for it is "long non-coding RNA (ACOM_LNC028412)". The record is from RNAcentral. Lineage: Eukaryota; Viridiplantae; Streptophyta; Magnoliopsida; Poales; Bromeliaceae.
CAAUUACUUUGAUACGAAGAAUGCCUCACUUCCAAUUCUCAUAUCGUAAUUAUUCCAAUUUGAUUAUUACAGCAGUCCUUUAGAAAUCCGAUAUAAGACGUUUCAAUUCGAGCUAUAAUCUCGAAUUAACUGCAUACUAAAUGGUUAAAAUUUAACUCAAAUUUCAACUUCGUCCUCAUAUUAAUUUUUAUUUGGAACAACUACAAAUUUCUUUUCUGACCCAUCAUCCUCCAAUUGUCUAACUCUCCCAACCCUCUGCCAUAUUCUUACUCUUUCCGCACAAGCCACUCUCCUCUCUCGCUCAUUAGCAGUGAGUGGUGACCCUUUAUGAUGCACACCUUAGUAUUGGGGAAGAAUAUGAGGUGCAUGGUUUGGCCUAUAUUGUGAACAAAAAGUACUUUAAUGCCUUCUAUUGGUCUAGAGAAAUUGAUUGUGUCUUAAUGAAAGCACUUUGAUUAAGGUUAUGGAUAACCAGCACUGACUGCUUAACAGCAGGUAGCAAGGUGUAGGUGUAGAAGA